GUCUGAUCUAUUAAUUUGAAAGUUCGCAGAUCAUCAGCCUUGGGUUCUUCCAGAAUCUUAGCAGAUCAUCAGCCUCAAUCUCAACAGUGAAACAAGAUUGGAAUCAUCUCGAUUGGCAAUACAAGAUCCGAAUCAAGAUGAGACGUGAAUCGUUGUGCCGACACAGACACCGAAAGAUAAGUGACUUUAACGUUUUAGAAAGUUUUAUUUCAAAAUAUUCUUAGGCACAAUUAAUUGAUGAAUUCUUGCAUGCUCAGAAUUUAUCUUUUAAACCUGUAUUAUUUUCCUAUAUUAUUUUUUUGUAUUAGCUGUGUGAGCAUGCGUUCCCGUGUUGUGUGCUCUUGUACCAUGGUUAUGAGUGUUUUGGAAAGUAAAUGCUAUAAAAAAUGGAUAAUUACGUAUUGUCACAACUUUCGCAGCUCCAAACUUGAAGGCAGACCAAUAUGUUGCAGGCACUCAGACAAAGUAUGUUAGAUUGAUUGCCUUUCUAAAUUUCUUUUACAUAGAAAAAAUGGUUACUGGUCUUUUAGCUUUUGUCUAUUAGACUUUGUUUCUACGUAGAUACUAAUAAAAGUGAUUGUUAAUGAAGCCAAGUGACCAGUUACGUACAUGGUUCGAAGACGAUGAUGAGCUCGAGCGUACUAUUAACGGACAGUAUGUCUGCGGCUUAAUACUGAUGAAUGUCAGAUUACUUUUGUGUCACUUAUUCCUUUUUGUUUGAAUUGUAGAUGGAAUUUAUUACCAUGUGGAAAUGAAGCAAGCGUUCUGGAACCUAUAUGUUUUAGUCGAGAUGAGACUAAUCCCUGCAUAAUCGGGUUUCUCAAUUGGAUGCUCGAAUCAACUACAAGAACGACGCCUUCUUCUUGAGAGAUUUACAAAGUCAACACGCAAUGAAGGAAAACGAUACAGGGUACUUCCGAACUAUCCUGCGUGCAUGCGUUCUUCUGAUGUGAUUGAGUUUGGUUCUGAUGAGGUUUCGUAUCGUGUUAAGGUCACAAAAUCUGCUCCAAGAGUGUCUCAGAAGGAAGAAACACAUAUUUUACAGGAAGUAUAAUAUAUAAUUAUGACUAUUUUUAGUUGCAAUCGAUGUUGUAAGUAGAAGAGUUGUACAGAAAAAAAGCAGUAUCUACAUUGUUUUAGUACAGGGUGUUAUUAUACAAUGAUGUCAAUCAUAUUAGGAUCUAUAUAUGUAACAUGAUUUUAUUUUGGUUUAGUAUAUAAUAGGAUACACACAUAUGUGUGG
Long non-coding RNA from Vicia villosa (hairy vetch), 1243 nucleotides. RefSeq lists it as uncharacterized. NCBI's taxonomy places the organism in Eukaryota, Viridiplantae, Streptophyta, Magnoliopsida, Fabales, Fabaceae. The transcript has 3 exons. The record is from RefSeq and is a predicted model, not a curated record.